CCCCUUUCCGCUCCGAAAUUAUUCGCUACCUUCAAAGAAACAGGGCACAGCACAGCCUGUCUCUGGCCCAGCCUCUUCCACAGACGUAUGCUGCAGCCAGCCCAGCUCAGAGAGCAGUGGGAGACACAUGAUCUCAUCCUGUCAACCCAAGCAACAUGGGUCGCAUUGAGGCUUAGAUGGAAGAUCCCAGGUAUCUCGUGGAGAGGACGUGUCUGGGUUCCUGGAGACUGUUUCCUGCUGGAGGUUUGAGCGGGGAGAGAUCACUCAGAAGAUCACUCGGGUCUGCAGGGUUCAUGGGAGCAGCCACACUCCAGCAGGCCAUCUGGAAGCCUAC
Mauremys reevesii (Reeves's turtle) is the source of this 334-nucleotide long non-coding RNA. RefSeq lists it as uncharacterized. The record is from RefSeq and is a predicted model, not a curated record. NCBI's taxonomy places the organism in Eukaryota, Metazoa, Chordata, Testudines, Geoemydidae. The transcript is spliced from 3 exons.